RNAcentral lists this ribosomal RNA (258 nucleotides) under uncultured bacterium. RNAcentral's name for it is "partial 16S ribosomal RNA". It matches the Rfam family "Bacterial small subunit ribosomal RNA", at positions 524 to 777 of the family's 1533-position model. The record is from RNAcentral.
UACGAAGGGGGGCUAGCGUUGCUCGGAAUCACUGGGCGUAAAGCGCACGUAGGCGGAUCUUUUAAGUCAGGGGGUGAAAUCCUGGAGCUCAACUCCAGAACUGCCUUUGAUACUGGGGGAUCUCGAGUCCGGAAGAGGUGAGUGGAACUCCGAGUGUAGAGGUGAAAUUCGUAGAUAUUCGGAAGAACACCAGUGGCGAAGGCGGCUCACUGGUCCGGUACUGACGCUGAGGUGCGAAAGCGUGGGGAGCAAACAGGG